Molecule: ribosomal RNA, 1096 nt
Filed under: Xylolejeunea crenata
Lineage: Eukaryota; Viridiplantae; Streptophyta; Jungermanniopsida; Porellales; Lejeuneaceae
Description: eukaryotic LSU rRNA
Rfam family: 5.8S ribosomal RNA (bases 532-684)
Source: RNAcentral
CCGCCGGUGUUGUUGUGAGAAGUUCAUUAAACCUUAUCAUUUAGAGGAAGGAGAAGUCGUAACAAGGUUUCCGUAGGUGAACCUGCGGAAGGAUCAUUGAACACACGAUCCCAGGAAAACACUGCGAACUGUUGUUUGUACCACGAGGGAUCGUGCCUGGAGGCACGAUCGUCGAUGGCGGAGUCUGGACUCAUGUGCGUCUGCCGUGAUCGUCUCGCUCGCUGCGUGGCGAGAUAAGCGACUCUGUUCAUCGUCGGACCGCUCUUUGUCACGCGUGACUUCGUGUCCCUGGGAUACGAAGUCAAGAGUGCGUCCCCUCCUCCGGGAGGAGUCUUCUGGAGGCUCCGUUUGUCUUGCAACGAGACUGGACGGUUUUCCAAGCGCAAGCUCUCCCGGGGCCCUUUUUUUCNUCACAGGGAACUUCUGUUUGAACAAUAUCAUGAUGGAUUGAAGGGGUCUGGGGAUCGCCGUGGGGGACUCUUUCGGAGUUGUCCCGUGAGAUCACCAGUUUCGGAACGAGAGAAAGCAAAUGACUCUCAGCAACGGAUAUCUUGGCUCUUGCAACGAUGAAGAACGCAGCGAAAUGCGAUACCUAGUGUGAAUUGCAGAAUUCCGCGAAUCAUCGAGUUUUUGAACGCAAGUUGCGCCCGAGGCUCGUCCAAGGGCAUGCCUGCCUGAGCGUCCGCUCUGACCCACACACUGGCCUUCUCUCUCUUUGAGAGGAGACGCCGAGUGAGAGUGGAACUGGUCGUCCGGGAAUCUGCCUCUCGGUGAGAGGUUCGAUGGAUUCGUGGUUGGCUGAAAUGAAUAGCCGUCCAUCAACUGUGCGCUCGGGAACAGCACAUUGCGAGAAGGUGCCGUCCUCUCCAUCCUCUUUUGUAUGAAGACGGACUUUGGUAACAAAGCAUUUUGCUUCCUUUGCGCAGCCGGUUGUAUGGGAGAGCGAUUGAGCAUGGGAACGGGAGGAUUCUUGCAGUCCCCUUGUCUCGCAAGGGGAAUGCAGAUCCGGACUCGAUGUUAUUCGGACCUCAGAUCAGGCAAGACCACCCGCUGAGUUUAAGCAUAUCACUAAGCGGAGGAAAAGAAACUAACAAGG